RNAcentral lists this ribosomal RNA (425 nucleotides) under uncultured bacterium. RNAcentral describes it as "bacterial SSU rRNA". It matches the Rfam family "Bacterial small subunit ribosomal RNA", at positions 354 to 796 of the family's 1533-position model. The record is from RNAcentral.
GUGGGGAAUAUUGGACAAUGGGCGAAAGCCUGAUCCAGCGACGCCGCGUGAGUGAAGAAGUAUUUCGGUAUGUAAAGCUCUAUCAGCAGGGAAGAAAAUGACGGUACCUGACUAAGAAGCCCCGGCUAACUACGUGCCAGCAGCCGCGGUAAUACGUAGGGGGCAAGCGUUAUCCGGAUUUACUGGGUGUAAAGGGAGCGUAGACGGUUAAGCAAGUCUGAAGUGAAAGCCCGGGGCUCAACCCCGGUACUGCUUUGGAAACUGUUUGACUUGAGUGCAGGAGAGGUAAGUGGAAUUCCUAGUGUAGCGGUGAAAUGCGUAGAUAUUAGGAGGAACACCAGUGGCGAAGGCGGCUUACUGGACUGUAACUGACGUUGAGGCUCGAAAGCGUGGGGAGCAAACAGGAUUAGAUACCCGGGUAGUCC